UACGUAGGGGGCAAGCGUUGUCCGGAUUCAUUGGGCGUAAAGAGCGUGUAGGCGGCCAGGUAGGUCGGUUGUGAAAACUGGAGGCUCAACCUUCAGAGGUCGACCGAAACCAUCUGGCUAGAGUCCGGGAGAGGAGAGUGGAAUUCCUGGUGUAGCGGUGAAAUGCGCAGAUAUCAGGAGGAACACCAAUUGCGAAGGCAGCUCGCUGGGACGUUACUGACGCUGAGACGCGAAAGCGUGGGGAGCAAACAGG
This 253-nucleotide ribosomal RNA is filed under the name uncultured bacterium. RNAcentral describes it as "partial 16S ribosomal RNA". It matches the Rfam family "Bacterial small subunit ribosomal RNA", at positions 524 to 776 of the family's 1533-position model. The record is from RNAcentral.